AUGGCGACCCCCACCAACCCUCAUCUCGCGCCCCCGCCGCCGGAUCGGGAUCUCGCAAUAGUUCAAGCCAUUAAGGAUUUUUAUCGCAAUUCGGGGACAAUCGAAGAGAACAUUACAUUGCUAGGCUAUGAUGAGAAGCCUAUGGAUUUCGACAACAGUGAAAUGAAGUUCUUCAAGUGCUCGUACAAAGUUGGGCCCAUCAAAUUCAACAGGUUUAUCAAGAGGGGUGCUGCAAGUUCGAAGGAUUGGGCUUCAGACUACCAUUUUGUCAGAGCUUUGGCGCGUCCUGCUGCUAUCCAAGUUGAAAAUUACGUCAAUUCAGAGUGUGUGAUCAUCUCUGAAGUGGAUGGGUCCUUCAGCAAAUGGUUGAACAAGAGGGAACCCAUAGAACUGUUCGCUGAUGGCACCAUGCUGCCCAUCCUCAGAAAUAUGAUCAUCCAACUUGCAAGUCUGGUGGAAAGUAUCCUUGCUAAGCGCAAGUAUCCCCGAGGUACCGUUGCAAAGGAAGAAUUCUCAAUGAAAGAGCUCUACAUCAAGCUGCUUCCUGAUAAGACACCUAAGCUGCAGGUGUUGAUACUUAAGGUUGAAAACAGGAUUCCAGCUCAGGUGGUGAAGACUUGGACAACUGUAAGGAAGAUUGCUACAGAGUGCUUUGAACGCCAUAAUGUCGAUCCAAACCAGGGAAGUAGAGACUUCAUCUCUUGUAUUGGGAUUCUGACAAAAAAUGUCCAAGCUCUUUUGGAGGGCCACCCGGACCAGUGGGACAAUUCGAAGAAAGGUGGUUUCUCAUGGAAUCCUACACGUACUCCCAGCAAGUGUCUGGUAGGAUCAACAAGUCUGAAUUGA
RNAcentral lists this ribosomal RNA (846 nucleotides) under Triticum aestivum (bread wheat). RNAcentral describes it as "partial small subunit ribosomal RNA". The record is from RNAcentral. Lineage: Eukaryota; Viridiplantae; Streptophyta; Magnoliopsida; Poales; Poaceae.